AUGGGGGUGCGCAGAGCAGUCCGUAGCCCAAGUCUCUCGGGUAAACACGCCCGGCAGGGGCAGGGCCGGCGGCGCGCGCAGCGGGGAAGUUGGCGGGGACGCCCCCUCCUUUACCUGUCCGAGCCUGCACGCGCGGGCGGCCUCGGCGCCGCGGAGGCGGGGCUUGCCAGCCCGCGCGCCGGGCGGGACUUAGCGGGGGCGGAGCCCACGGUGAUUGGGCCCGGACCUGGGGCCGCCAGCCUGAGCUGGGCAGCAGAGGCGCGCAGGUUUCACUUCGCUCCGCGCAGCCGCCAGGUCUCGGUCUUGCAGGAGCGCUCUGUCCUACUUCGCCGUCGCCGCCGCUGUCCUCGGAUUCUCGCAACCGCCCUGCGCGCCCUGCCCUCUGCGGCCAGCACCGUUUCAGACUGCUUGGGUUCGCCUCGCUCUCGCCGCCGCCGCCGCAGCCGCAGCCGGUGCCACCGCCUCGGUGCCGUUCCCGUGGCCCUCGUCCCCCCAAUGUCUGACCCUAAUUCACGAACUGAGAAACGCAAGGCCGAAGUUUUGGGCUGCUGCUGCGUUCGUUCUCUCUCUGGGACGUGUCUGGGGACACUGCCCCGUCUGCGGGCGCUCUGCGGACGAUGCCAGACCCAAGAUCCACAAACAGCAAAAGACAAGAGGGCCUCCUCCGACCGCCGGGGGCACGCGGUGGACGAGCCAGUGGCUGUAGAACCGGCCCGGUCCGUGGGUCCCGACCCUCUUAGCGAUUCGGGUGUGCUCAAGCGCCGCUCGAUCCAUUCGCAGUGCUGGCUGGCUGGCUGGCUGUACCGUGCCCUCGGGGGCCUGUUACUCGGGGUUGGCGCAGGUAGUGGAAUGCCCGCUGGACCCCGGCGAUGCCCCCAUCGGCGGUGGUCGCGGUUGUGCGCGUCGGUGGCCAUUUGGUGCGUGUCCCGUGGCGCAUGGGGAGAAAGAGGGAGGAAGUCGGGGGAGGAUGGGGGCUUCGGCUGGGGAGAGGGUGGCCUUUAGGGUGCCCACCCCAGCGGGCCUGGACUGGGGUCGGCGGCCGGGGCUGGAGUCUGGGGCCGGCCCUGCGGGUCCUGUUUUGUCUCCAGGUGACCGGCUCUUGGGGGCGGCGGGAGCAGCAGAGGCGGGCGCGGCGCCAGGACUGACGGAGGGGCGGGGCAGGGUUGGCUGGGCAGCCCCGGGCCCAGAAGCCCCGGAAACCUCCGCCGCCGCUCCCGCGGCAGUCAGGGCCCGAGCCGCGUUCGGAGGCGAGUUUGUCAACAAUCGCCUCGCCUUCGGCGGCCUAUUGGGCA
Long non-coding RNA from Bos indicus x Bos taurus (hybrid cattle), 1292 nucleotides. The record is from Ensembl. Lineage: Eukaryota; Metazoa; Chordata; Mammalia; Artiodactyla; Bovidae.